AAGGCAAUGGCGGCUGCUAUACAUGCAGUCGAGCGAAUGGAUUAAGAGCUUGCUCUUAUGAAGUUAGCGGCGGACGGGUGAGUAACACGUGGGUAACCUGCCCAUAAGACUGGGAUAACUCCGGGAAACCGGGGCUAAUACCGGAUAACAUUUUGAACCGCAUGGUUCGAAAUUGAAAGGCGGCUUCGGCUGUCACUUAUGGAUGGACCCGCGUCGCAUUAGCUAGUUGGUGAGGUAACGGCUCACCAAGGCAACGAUGCGUAGCCGACCUGAGAGGGUGAUCGGCCACACUGGGAC
RNAcentral lists this ribosomal RNA (297 nucleotides) under uncultured Bacillus sp. Its description in RNAcentral is "partial 16S ribosomal RNA". It matches the Rfam family "Bacterial small subunit ribosomal RNA", at positions 41 to 319 of the family's 1533-position model. The record is from RNAcentral. Lineage: Bacteria; Bacillati; Bacillota; Bacilli; Caryophanales; Bacillaceae.